AGCAGUGUUUAGAACCCCUUGAAAUUCUACUAUGGCAAAAAAUCAAAAUAGGAAAUUAAUACCAAAGAUAUAAUUGUGCAUGUGCAUCUUUGCUGUAUUGUACAUUUCGCGGGUAUAUCUAUUAUUGACAUCAAACAAAAAUGUGCUGCCAAAUAGCCCCUAGAAAAAGCUCAAAGCUACGCCAACGACCACUGUUGAAUCGAUAAUUCUCUAGAACGAAACGCCGCGCUGCGCCGCCGGUUCGUUCGAUUUCACUCCUUUUGUGGUCAGGGGCCAACCAGUCUGCGGCGCAUCAAAUGCGGCUACCGUCGUCGUCGUCGUCGCCGCAGUCUUCAUCAUCAUCACCUUCAUCGUCGUCACGUGGUUGGAUCGGUGUCAAUCGAUUUCAAUCCGUGGUACGACCGCGCCGCUUCAGGGUACCUACCGCUCCACCGUGCAAGAUUAGGUUCUUUACGGGGCCUUUGUGCGGAAUUGAUUUGUUGCUUUCUCCCAAUUAGUGAGCAGCGCGUCUUCUUUAUUGAGCUCUGCUUUCAAUGGAGGGGUUGGAAUGGAAUUUAGUUCUCACAGAGUUCGGGACGGAACUGGAUCGCGUUGAAGGGUUUGUCGAAUGUAAUUAAAAUUUGUCGGUACGAUGCAGAUCGUUUACAAGUCACUUCUUUUUUGGAGCGUGGGUAGGUCGGAAUUGAAACAAGAGCUGCUAAUCCCAUUGAAUAUAUUAGGGUGGAAGUGCCCGCCAUAAAUCAACACUGAUAAAUACGGUAUCCAGUUGUGGGAGGGCCACCCGUGAGUAGCCAAGUUUAUGGCUUUGUUUGCUUUUUUUGGAGAAGAGGAAAGCUACACCAUGGUUUUGUAUACGUAUCUAUGACUCUUUGCUCUAGUGUCGGAAUAAUGGAGUGAUUCAUUUAUCGCUAUGAAAUUAUAUGUAAUAAUUUAGAUAAUAAGUAAAAAGAAGUUAUCCAAUAACAUUAAAGAGAAUGUGGAUCAUGAGGCCCGAAAGGUAUGUAUGGAUCGGAAUGAUAUGAAGACAUUUUAUGCGUCUGUCAACAGGCUGCACCGGUGCAAGCUAUAAGCAAAGACCGGGAGGGUUAUUUUAGCAGCUAUGUGGGAAAAGCUAUAGUUAGCCUAGUGGUUAAGGCUAUGUAUCGCCAAUCUGGAGACGGCGGGUUCGAUUCCCGUUCUAGUCGGGAAAAUUUUCUCGACUCCCUGGGCAUAGUGUAUCAUAGUACUUGUCUCACAAUAUACAAAUUCAUGUAAUGGCAGGCAAAGAAAGCCCUUUCAAAUAAUAACUGCUGAAGUGCUCAAAUAAUACUAAGUUGAUGCGAGGCAGGCCAAGUCCCAGUGGGGACGUAGAGCCAUAAAGAAGAAAAAGAAGAAGAAGUGGCAAGAGCAACGUGUGAAUUCGAUAAACAAUCCUAAUGAAGAAAAAAUGGUUAUCAGAACUACAGUUCGUUCAUCGUUUCUACUAUAAGUCAGUAUGAUUCAUACAUAGUAAUGAAUAACAGGUCAAAACACCUGUUUCACACCAUCACUUUUACUAUUCACGUGAUCUCAGCUAAUGAUAUUCUGCUAAAAUAGUGUUUAUCAAUUUUCAAAUAAAAAACAACUCAUUCAAGCUGAAGCAAGACUUUCACUUAGCCCAACUAAUUCUAUACCAUGGUAAGCAGUGAAUGUGCAAAAAAAAAAACAAAAACAAACCAAAUAUAAAAUCAAACCCCACUUGAGCGAAACUUCUUAAUUACAGCUUUGAAGUUGACGAGCGAAAACAAAAACAAGAUAAAGAAAAUUUCAAACACCAAAACAGAUAGCGCGAAAUGGUCGAGAGAAUAAAAAUUAUAGCGAUCAACGAAUGGCAGUAGCAUCACAACGGAAGCUUUACUCUGGCAAGUCAGUGGCAUCAACAUAAUUACCCACUUUAAGUUAUCUGUUAACAGCGCUGAAAACCAACACAACAACCAAACGUCUUGUGGUGCAGUGGCAAAGGAGACACCCGCGCGCUUGCUGUCCCGUAAAAUAGUGCUGUUUGGGCAGAGCCGACUACUGAGCAAAGGCUUCUGAGUAUUGCAGUAAACUGGCUCGAUUGAUGAUGGCGAUGAAAGUGAAAUGUGAAUUGAUUAAACGGUGGAAGUAUUUAAUCGCUGGGCCUCACAUGAAAUACACCCACCGUAAGCUGAUCAUUUUAGUGUGACUAGAAUCUUUUUGCACCUUCCUCUCUCAGAGCAGUACUCACGUUUUUUUACUCGUUUAUUUAGAAGGCUCGAGUGCCACAUGGACAUAACAGAGCUGGAAUUAUUUCUACAUUUCUUUACACUGGUUUUACUUUUUUUAAUUUCUACAGCCAUAAUACUAUGUUAGUCUGAGGAGCCGACGUACUCGCGGCCGUUUCGAGGUAAGGGAUAACAAAAUUUUUAAUUAUGAAUUUUAAAUAACUCAACGUACAUAUGUGCAGAUGGGUAAAUUAUUGGUUAAAUUGGGAAAAAAAUCCACAGCUCAGGUUAGAUUUGAACUCACGACCCUUAUUCGCUAGACAACUGCUUUACCAACUAAGCUACCAAGCCAAUUAAUUAAUGACACGGCAUUUUAGUUGUCAUAAGGUAAUUCAAAUCUCAUCGGUGUAUAUCAUCUUCCCCUAAACCGCAAAUAUCGGCACCAACAUUUCAAAAGGGCGUAACUGCAUUUUGAAACAAACCACUAUUUCACAUCUGUGGGUCAUAUUUUAAGUUUCCCACGAAAUUCACAAACAUUACUAGACAGAGAAAUUGCUCUUCUUUCCUAUACUGGCGGUGAUUUGCAUGGCGGCAUAGAAAUACGAUCUACAGAUGUGAAAGAGGGAUUUGUUUCAAAAUGCAGUUACACCCUUUUGAAAUGUUGGUACCGAUAUAACCAUUAGCCUGGUACACGGUUUAUAUGGGAAAAUACAAAAAAUGGAAAAACCCAAGUUCCUGUAUACUUUUUGAGUUCCACUUUGGUUCCAUAUCAACUGUGCAAAAUUUCAGAUCGAUCGGAAAAACUAUAUUUUAGCGCCCACCAUUCUUAGUUUUUCAUACGAUUUACUAUGGGGAAAUUUUACUCCUGCAAAGAAAAAUCGCUAGGAGUCACCCAUAGAUCCCUAAAAAUAAGUCGACGAAUGAUUUCUGUAGAAUGCUUUACUAAGAAUCAGACCUCCGAAGACAGCAAAUCGAUGCGACGUUCGUGGAAAAAGUUAUUAGGCCUCACCCGAUCGAUAAAAUAACGAGAUUUUAUUAUUCCUUACAUGUUAAACAGCGUUUGCAUGCCAUUCGGUUUUCAGUCAAUAACCUUUUCCACAUGCCUUAGAUCGCUUUGCGGUCUUCGAAGGGUUGGUUCCUCGUAAAAUUUACAACAGAAAUCGAUCAUCGAUUUACUUUUAGAGGUUAAGGGGCAACCUGUGGCGAUUUUUCUUUGAAAAGGUGAUUUUCCCCAUACUAAAUCGUAUGAAAACUUAAAAUGGCUGGCGCUAAAAUAUAGUUUCUCCGAUCGAUCUGAAAUUUUGUACAGUUGAUAUGGUGUAACGGGACCCCCCCGGAUCACUUUCCAAAAUUGCAACCGAACGCGUUUACUUAAAGAUAUGUCAUCAUCUAUAAAAAUUCUCCAACACUUCUUAAAACUACACUACUUUAUUUUCCGAAUAUAAAUAUUUUAAUUUCCACAGUGCACUGAAUUAGAAAUGAACAUCUACAAAUGAAACACACUAACUGACUAUCUAAACCACUAAACUGAAUCACUAACUGCCUGAACUGAACUACUUUUUCACAAGUUUAAAUGGGAAAAGCCUAAGCAAACUGGUCUCAACUAAUUUUUCCAAGUUAACAUGGAUAACAAGAGUAGUCGAUAAGCCAAAAAUGGCGUCGAGCUCAAGCUCCAAGAUUAACAAUGGAAAAAUUCUAAACACAAACUGACUGACUCCCCGAUCAUUGGAUCUGCUGGCCCUUAUAUAAGGGUCCUCUCCCUAACCAUCAACUCUUAUUCUCCUGAUCAUAAUUAUGAUCCGAUCAAAAAUUCUCCAGGACUAUCUCCGAGACCAAAGAGAAAUUAAUUUCCCGAUGCCCCAUGCAUAAUUGAUUAUUAAUUACGCUCUUUUCUAAUCUUUGCAUCUCCCACAUCCGUGAGAGCAAUUCUAAACUCUUCCCUACACGGAUGAUCAAUUUUCCCUAUGCCUCCCAUUUCGCCAUCUCACAUCCGCGAGAUUAAUUGAGCCUCCAGAACGAAUGGCCAAUUUAUUCUCACCUCUGAGAUCCGGGCCUCCCAAAAACUCUCCCCAAAACAAAACAGAAAGGCUAAAUCUCCGAUGCAUCAUAACAUCCCCCAUCCACAUUCUCACAUCUGUGAGAUCAUAUCAAAAUUCUGAGGGGAGCGAAAGUACUCGCGAAUUCAAUCUCAAAAUGUCUUGCCUUAGUGGCUGAGUCAUCAAGGGCCACACCAAUCAUCAUCAUUCCCGAACUUGAUUUUUCAUGAACGCACCGGGCGAUCAUAAAUUUAUAGUGUUUACUUUUCUUCGUCGCCCGUCUCAGUUUUACGAUCACUCAUGCGUUAGAAUUUUCACGCCUUCUAAGCAUGGAUGUGUGAACGGUCGUCCGAUCGAUUCAAAACAUAAUUUUACGAUCCAAUUAUGAUCGUCGUCUGUGAUAACCUUUCUUUUCGGGGAAGGUUAUGCAUUUCCAAGUUUUUUCUUGUUGCAAAAACAAUCAGAUCAUUCUUCUCAACUCAUUUUACGAUCGGAUUUCUAGGCAAUUGUUUAUUUCAUCAAGACGACCCUGUAUGUACUUGAAUUUCGUCACCCAGAAUACAGCCACAGAAGGCUUCAACAUAUGUUGAAAACCAUGCCCGAUGUUUAUGUCAUAAAAUAUAAGCCGAGAUCCCAAAAUGUUGGUUUCCCUUUCUCUUAUUUUGGCAUGAGUGAAAAAUGCAAAAUUGUUGCAAAUGAUUGGGGAAAAGGGUGACGUAUGCCCCAUUCCCGAAAAAUGACAAAAAUUAUCAUUUUGGCAAUAAAUUGCUGAAUCUCAAUUCAGCGGUUUGUUGCAUUCCCUUACUUUUCCCGCAAAAAAAUUAAGAAAUUUCUUAAAAUUUCUUAAUUUUUUAAAAUGUUGGUCAUGUUUCUGGCCCUAUGAGGUUUUUUUGUUUUUCGAAUAAGAGUUGAUUUACAUACUGCUUUGCUUCUGCUUAUAAAUAUUAUAUUUAUAGUGCUCUUGUUUUGUUUCUAUUGAAUCUGAUUCGAUAAUAUCCUUGGCUGACCAUUUUCUAGCUAAUGUUAAUCCUUACAAGUUUUAAAACUAGAUUAUUAUUCUUCUUCUUUCCUAAUAUAUUUUUUUUUUAUUUAACUAGACUCAUACCUGUGAUUCAAAUGGCAACUGUUGACUCCGUAUUCCGCUACCGUUUUCGCCGUGAUAUUGUGAUAUAAAAAUAUUUUGAUUUUGAUGAAUCCCGAUGUUUCGAAGUUGUUGAUCAUGGCUGAGUCUUUAAGUGAGUCAUUAGGGCAAAAACCAAGCAUCUUCUUCUCGUUGCUUCGUUGUGUUUAUCGGUGAUUAACUGUUGUGCGAUUCCCAUACUGCUUCUUUGAUUUCUCCUAAUGGUUGAUUUCCUUUGUAACGGUAAUUUUUUCCUUGUUUGUGACUUCAAUUCUACGUGAUUCUUGAAACUUUUGCUUAUUUCUGGUUCCGUGAGAAAAAUCUUGUGUCCACUUGUCUAUUCGAUUGAAAACAGGAUAUUCACGCAUAAUGUCCUUUUGAUUCCAAUUAAUAGUCUUAAAAUCAUUGUGAAGAAAAACGUAUUUUGUUGGUUGUGUUUUUUUUUUUCGGUAUAUCGAUUGGUUCUUGCUGCCUUAGGAUGCUGUUGAAAUUUGCGUAUAUGACGACAGCUAGAAAAUGUGGCUUUUUCCUGCUGAAAUAUUUGUUGUAUUUGUCGUUAAUGCAUUUAAUGUCAUCCUUCCUCUAAUUGGUUGUGUUGCUGUUACUUGCUCAGCUAAGAACAUUUUGACUAUUUCUUUGGUGGAAAUUGUUUGUUGCUAGUGGCAAAUGCAACUUGAGAGUUAUGCUGCUGUUAAAUCAUCCACUAAUAAAUGCCGGCUACAAGAAUUUUGAUGUUUUCUCGUCCGAGAAUUUGUAUUAUAGGAAAUGGUUUAUGUGUUUGUGAAAUAUAAACCAGGUUAGUUAAUUCGAUGUAUGAGUGAUCAUUUUCCUUCCCAAUAGGUUGAAAUCCGCGUAUAAACACUUUCUGCAACAAUUUUCUUUGACUGUAGAAUAUAUGCGCCGUUAACCCUGAUGUUUGAUGUUUGAUGCUCAGUUUACCCUUCUGACCAACCUAAUAGACUCGCCAAUCAUGAACUCGUUGUAGAUGCUGGAACUUUUCUUUCAAUUACCGUACAUCCCUGUUAAUACGGUUCCGAUGUUGCUCGUUGAGCUCUGAUUGAUGAUUUCUGGAACUUUUUCUUUCAUUUUCCAUACAUCCAUGUUUGUAUGGUUGAAGUUUAAGCUUGUUGCCUUUGAAUUAUUGUCUUAUUAUUCACCUUUCCUAAUGACCUAUGUUUUCUCUUGAUUCUUAUUCAUCUAGAAGCUUCAAACGACUAUUUUGCUUAUUAAUUAUGAGCACUUUACAAUUGAUAUAUUUUUAUUGAACACACGUUAUUAUGAAAAAUUUUCCAACAAAUUCCCUUAAUUGACAAAAGCCAUGCUAAUUGAAAUUUUCAUCUCCCACCAUAAAUGGAAAAAAAUAAUAACUUUCCAACAUUUACAAUUCUUUGAAAUAAAAUCAAUUUCCCUUCCUGUAUAAAUGUUAAAAAAAAUCUUGUUUAACACACCCGCAGUUUAUCAAAAAGUUUUUUAACUUAAACAUUUGAAAAUUAAUUUCGCAAAAAUAAUCCCCACGUUUCUGUAUUGUGUUAUGUGACAAUAUUUCAUAAUUUUGUACUUUUCGGUAAAAGAGAACGUAGCUCUUACAUUUGCUCCCAUAUUUGUUCAUUAACAUCAACUACACGAUCGCUUCUUCUUCAUCCUGUGUCCGUCGCAUUUGACCUAUCAUCUCUUCGUCUUCUCUCUUAUGUGUCUGUUGCUUGUACUGCUGAAUUUCAAUUAAUGCUUUUUUAUGCGUCUUCUUCUGUAGAUGAACAAAUAGUUUAUUAGAUUUUAUUUUUGGUUUCAGCACUUUUAUUCUUAUUCUUCCUUAUAUCGACUUGGUCAUAACUUAUCGAUUUGAAUCAUUGAUGCAUGUUAAAAUCAAUUUUUUUUUAUAUAUUUAUGAUGUUUUUAUAUGAUUUUCAUUUUUUUUAAAUAUUUGGAACAGGCAAGACCGACAGUCUUCUUCUUAUCUUUGGGAGCAAUAUUUGGCUGUUUUUUUCCAUUCAAGAACUUUAUCGUACCAUUACAGUACCGUACCUUGAUGAAAUCAGGAAGUUUGUUUUUCCUGGUGGUAGCUGAGUAUACCAAACCGAACCAUUUUUCAUUUUCUUUGUUUACCAUAACGUUUUCUUUUUUGAUUGUUUUUCGUUUCAUGGUCAUGUUAUUCAUUCAAGAACUUUUUUGUAUCGCUGGAUACAGUACCUUGACGAAUCAGGAAUGUCUCUAUUCCUGGCGGUAGCUUGGUUUACCAGACCAGACCAUUGAUAUUUAUUAAUUUAUUUUUUUUUCAUUUCUGGACCCAAGGUAUUCAUUAUUGUUUGAUGGCUUAUUUAUUAUUCAUUCAAGCACUAUGUGUAUCAAUGGAUACAGUACCUUGAUGAAUCAGGAAUGCUGCAUUCCUGGUGGUAGCUUGGUUUACCAGACCGCGCCAUUUUCGUUUUUUAUCGAUUCUUCGUUUCUUCGCGUUUUUUUUAUCAUUUCGUGGCAUAUUUAUUUCAUUUAUUAUUUAUUAUUCAUUCAAGAACUUUUUAGUAUCGUUAGAUACAGUACCUUGAUGAAUCAGGAAUGCUGUAUUCCUGGUUGUAGCUAGGUUUACCAAACCAUGCCAUUUUCGUUUUUCCGUUUUCUUUAGCAUAGUUUUUUUCAUAUUUCAUGUUUUAUAUUUCUUGGCAUAUUUAUUAAGCAUAUUAUUUAUUAUUCAUUCAAGAACUUGUUAGUAUCGUAAGAUACAGUACCUUGAUGAAUCAGGAAUAUUGUCAUUCCUGGUGGUAGCUUGGUUUACCAAACCUCUGAUACUCUGUACUUUGGCAAUGUGGGGAAAACAAAACUGUCCAAUUCCAUACUUUUCAUUUUCAAACAUCUCGUUUAAUAUAUUCUGCACAUUCAUUCUGGUGUGGCCAACACCUUGUCCAAUCAUUCAUUCUUGCAAACAAACAUAGGUAAAUAGAUAAAACUAUUGCCUGAUUUUUAGCUUUCCAAAUGGUACAGAAUUUGACGACUCGUCGACAAUGUAAUUUCAAUUAUAUGCCAUAUUUUUUUUUUUUAGUUUCCGAUGCCAGAUUUAGUCUUUUUUGUAUAUUUUUAUCUCUAUCUUUCUUUAUCCAAUGGAUAUGGUGCACCUUGGUCCGAAUAAUGUUCAUAUGAAUUUGUAUUAAUUGUAUUAAUGGUUCUGUAUCAGCCUCUGGUUGUAUGUAUUUGUCCCUUUAUUCGUUGUUUUUUUUUUUAUUAUUAUUUUAUUUUAUUUUUUUGACUUGUCGUAUUCAAAUUAGAAGUAUUCAGCCCAUUAUCGACCUGCUGGAAUUUCGUUACGAUUUUUUUUUUAUAAUAGGGGUAAUUAAUUCAUUUUCGUUAAAAAAUUUCCCAUGGUAUAAACAUGCAUCAAUGUUCAUUAUUUCAUUCAUGUCUUUCUUGAAGAUUUUGGUAGUGUCUUUGUCAUUACUAUGUGAUCUAUUACCUAGGAGACUCGCUAUUAUGUUAUUAAGCGAUACUUUGCUUUAUCAUUUUUGUUAAAAAUAGAAUCUGCAAAUUGAUAGCGCGCUAAAAGCAGCAAUACGAUCGACCGGUGUACUCAUUCUCAAAAAAUACAUGUAUUACUCGUUUUCGUAUAUCUUAAACGUUUUAUUUUAUGUUAUUAUUCCUUAUUUUCAUGAUUUCCAUGUUGAUUGUGAGGAAAUUUCACAUGAUUUUCAUUUUAAACAACCUUUUAUAUUUUUUUUUUGAUUUUCAUUUAGUUCAAUCAGAUGUAUUUUUACCUAUAUAUUACACAAACUUAAAAAUUCAAUGAAUCAAUGAUGAGGAAAAAAAACAAAAUGCGAAUCUAUUCUUGUUUGUUUUUACCACAUGUUUCUUCCCUAGGCAAAUUAAAAUCCAUUAUGUUUAUUGCAAACACACUUCUUCACUCCUUCUCUUGCACACGAAGGCAUUGACACCCAAAAAUUCUACAGCAACCGUAAUUGCUGCGACAACAUUAAGUGGCUUGUGACGAUAGAAAAUGUGCAUCUGCAAGCAAAACGAAAUAGUUGUCGCGUCUCUUUCCUUAUCCGUGAUAGCCGAAAGAAGAGAAAACAAAUUUUAGCUUCAUUCCGUUUUCGACUUUCAGUGCUAUAGGAUACCGGAGAAAAGAACAUGGGAUAUCACAAUGUCACAUCGUCUUUAUUUGGGACAUGUAACUUACAGAAUGCUCGGAAGUUAACCAAGUCCUGCGAUGGGAUCCAGGCGUGCUCCGUGCAGUGGACCAUCACCAGGAUAGAGAAAUCCAUCUCUACCCGUACAACAAGGCCGAGGAUUCAGAGUGCAAGGGAAAAAACAUAUACAUAGAAAUUUAUGUAAAAUAAAUUUCAAUCAUUCCAAUCAAUUUCUAAGUGCUUUGAUUGUGUUUAGUUAUCAUUUUUUUUAAUUUUAGAUACGAUUAAACGUAAGUGUGUUCAAUGGUAGUGUCAGUAAGGGAACGAAAAAGGAAAAAAAUAAACGGUAAGUUUUUUUCUUCCUUAUUAUUACUUUUAAGUGUGGUGUUCCUUUAAAAUUUCAUAAAUGUUGAAACCAAGUUACUUUAUCUUCGCUAGAUAUUUUUUUAAGUGUUAAACAUUAUUUCAGAUUCAAAAUUGGGACGUUUCGAACCAUUCAGUAUGAUUCCCCAUAUCUUAUCUUUUGUCAUGAAAAAUUACGUUGCCUGACAAACUAUUGAAUAUUGCUUCUCAUAUUUUUCAAAUAAUCAAUGUGCUUCUUUUGCUUCCAAUAUGCGUUUCUAGCGAAAGACCGUGAAGUUCUUUCAAGAUUGUGUCACUAUUUUCUGACACCUAAGCAUUCUCUCUGAAUUGGCAAAAUGGAAAAAAAAACUAUUUAAUAUGACAUAACAUGUCCAAAUGUGGUAAAGUUAUUAUUUUUCUGAAUGCAAUAACUGAAUUUGAAAUACCUAAAAUAUUCCUCAAGAUGUCAUACUGUUAAACAAAUCACAAAAAUUUCAAAUCGGAUUAUUUCGAUCCAAUCAUAAUAGUUUCCCAACGUUUUUCUUCCGUAUGGACAUUUCGUUACCUGACAGAAAGUUAAUUAAAUGCUCUUCUAAUUAAAGUACAUAUUUCAACAUCAAUAUUUAAAUUAAUUUGUUUCAUUUUUCAAAACAUUUUAAACUUGGCAUAAAUUUGCAUAUUAUUCCUACAUUAUUGUUAUUAUAACAUUUUUCCAAAUUUGUUUCUGCUGUAAAUUUAGCUAAAAAUUCACAUAUCUGUUUUUUUUAUUCAUUUUUUUAUUGCACUCGGAAAGUACAAACGUUUCAAUUUUCGUUUUGUUUUAAAUGAAGUUGUUUGUUGUGCAAUUUGACAGGAAAUUUAUUGGCAUAAAACUCAUCGAGAUACAAAGAAGUCUGCAAUUCAUCUGGAAAUCUGUUGAUUUGUGGAAUGCAGUAGGAAGCCAAUUGCCUUGCGAAGUUUUAUGGAACUGCAGUAUAAUUUCCAGUUGCAAAAAUAAAUUUCAACUGUUUAAUAAUGUUUUAAUUUUUAAAUAAUGUUUUAAUUUUUUUCAUUUGCCAAAAUCUCUAUUUAUUAUUGCUUUGAAUUUCAUGGUUGCAGAUUUCUUUAAAGGAAUUUACAGCAUAAAUAAAACAUGAAAGAUGGCUAAAAAGCAUACAUAUGAAAAAUGGAAUGAAUUAUCACUCACCAAUUAUUUUUCAUUGCUUACAUUAUUUUCCUCACUCCUUUUGCGUUAAGUAACCUUGAAUUCACUGAAAAAAAGUUAAUUAUGGUAAUUUACGCUUUUCUCAUUUUGAACACACACAGAAAUGUCUAAUUCGAACAAAUAACACGAAUAUCUUUUUGAUUCUUUAGUUUGUUCUUGAUCACCGAUUAUAAUUUUUUUUUCGAUUUAUCAAAUGUUCAAAUGUUCAAAUUCUUCACUGGAACACGCUUUUCGAUUUUUUAGUUUUUUAAUAUACAUACAGUACAUUUGCACACAAAAAAUAGUUAAAAACAACGUGUAGAAGUUAACCGAAUGUUAGUAAAUUAUUCAAAAGUUUGCUGUUGUCCACUUUAAGAGUUCGUCUAAUUUCAACUUUAACAGAUUUGAUCAUUUUGAUUAUUUGUUCGCACUACUUUUUUAUUUGCAUUCACUACCAAGCUUCCUCAUUUGCACAGUUUUGCACACCAAUAAAAGUUCAAACCACCUUGAAAAGCCUAAAGAGAGUUUUGAAAGAGAUUAUUCACUUCUAACGUCUUUUAAUUAUUUGCACUUCUGUUUUAUUCGCGCCUAAACAGUUCCUUGAUUUGCACAGUUUUGCACCAGUCAAAAAUGACGCACCAAAUUUCAUCUAAAACUGAAAUUCUUUACCGCUGUCACCAUCUGUAACGGGACCCCCCCGGAUCACUUUCCAAAAUUGCAACCGAACGCGUUUACUUAAAGAUAUGUCAUCAUCUAUAAAAAUUCUCCAACACUUCUUAAAACUACACUACUUUAUUUUCCGAAUAUAAAUAUUUUAAUUUCCACAGUGCACUGAAUUAGAAAUGAACAUCUACAAA
Aedes albopictus (Asian tiger mosquito) is the source of this 11851-nucleotide long non-coding RNA. RefSeq lists it as uncharacterized. Lineage: Eukaryota; Metazoa; Arthropoda; Insecta; Diptera; Culicidae. The transcript has 2 exons. The record is from RefSeq and is a predicted model, not a curated record.